GACGAACGCUGGCGGCGUGCUUAACACAUGCAAGUCGAACGGAAAGGCCCUGCUUUUGUGGGGUGCUCGAGUGGCGAACGGGUGAGUAACACGUGAGUAACCUGCCCUUGACUUUGGGAUAACUUCAGGAAACUGGGGCUAAUACCGGAUAGGAGCUCCUGCUGCAUGGUGGGGGUUGGAAAGUUUCGGCGGUUGGGGAUGGACUCGCGGCUUAUCAGCUUGUUGGUGGGGUAGUGGCUUACCAAGGCUUUGACGGGUAGCCGGCCUGAGAGGGUGACCAGCCACAUUGGGACUGAGAUACGGCCCAGACUCCUACGGGAGGCAGCAGUGGGGAAUAUUGCACAAUGGGCGGAAGCCUGAUGCAGCAACGCCGCGUGCGGGAUGACGGCCUUCGGGUUGUAAACCGCUUUCGCCUGUGACGAAGCGUGAGUGACGGUAAUGGGUAAAGAAGCACCGGCUAACUACGUGCCAGCAGCCGCGGUGAUACGUAGGGUGCGAGCGUUGCCCGGAUUUAUUGGGCGUAAAGGGCUCGUAGGUGGUUGAUCGCGUCGGAAGUGUAAUCUUGGGGCUUAACCCUGAGCGUGCUUUCGAUACGGGUUGACUUGAGGAAGGUAGGGGAGAAUGGAAUUCCUGGUGGAGCGGUGGAAUGCGCAGAUAUCAGGAGGAACACCAGUGGCGAAGGCGGUUCUCUGGGCCUUUCCUGACGCUGAGGAGCGAAAGCGUGGGGAGCGAACAGGCUUAGAUACCCUGGUAGUCCACGCUGUAAACGGUGGGUACUAGGUGUGGGGUCCAUUCCACGGGUUCCGUGCCGUAGCUAACGCUUUAAGUACCCCGCCUGGGGAGUACGGCCGCAAGGCUAAAACUCAAAGGAAUUGACGGGGCCCCGCACAAGCGGCGGAGCAUGCGGAUUAAUUCGAUGCAACGCGUAGAACCUUACCUGGGUUUGACAUGGGUCGGGAGUGCUCAGAGAUGGGUGUGCCUCUUUUGGGGUCGGUUCACAGGUGGUGCAUGGCUGUCGUCAGCUCGUGUCGUGAGAUGUUGGGUUAAGUCCCGCAACGAGCGCAACCCUUGUUCACUGUUGCCAGCACGUUAUGGUGGGGACUCAGUGGAGACCGCCGGGGUCAACUCGGAGGAAGGUGGGGAUGACGUCAAGUCAUCAUGCCCCUUAUGUCCAGGGCUUCACGCAUGCUACAAUGGCUGGUACAGAGAGUGGCGAGCCUGUGAGGGUGAGCGAAUCUCGGAAAGCCGGUCUCAGUUCGGAUUGGGGUCUGCAACUCGACCUCAUGAAGUCGGAGUCGCUAGUAAUCGCAGAUCAGCAACGCUGCGGUGAAUACGUUCCCGGG
This 1343-nucleotide ribosomal RNA is filed under the name uncultured bacterium. Its description in RNAcentral is "16S ribosomal RNA". It matches the Rfam family "Bacterial small subunit ribosomal RNA", at positions 28 to 1378 of the family's 1533-position model. The record is from RNAcentral.